GCCAGGUGUGGUGGCUCAUGCCUUUAGUCCCAGCUACUUAGGAGGCUGAGGUGGGAGGAUCACUUGAGCCCAGGAGGCUGAGGCUGCAGUGAGUUGUGAUCAUGCCACUGCACUCCAGCCUGGGCGACAGAGUGAGACCCUGUCUCAA
Molecule: unclassified non-coding RNA, 148 nt
Organism: Pongo abelii (Sumatran orangutan)
Lineage: Eukaryota; Metazoa; Chordata; Mammalia; Primates; Hominidae
Rfam family: Metazoan signal recognition particle RNA
About the family: The signal recognition particle (SRP) is a universally conserved ribonucleoprotein. It is involved in the co-translational targeting of proteins to membranes.
Source: Ensembl